RNAcentral lists this non-coding RNA (105 nucleotides) under Enterobacter sp. 638. Its description in RNAcentral is "Plasmid-encoded Shigella sRNA A". The stretch from base 1 to 76 matches the Rfam family "Plasmid-encoded Shigella sRNA A". The record is from Rfam by way of RNAcentral. Lineage: Bacteria; Pseudomonadati; Pseudomonadota; Gammaproteobacteria; Enterobacterales; Enterobacteriaceae.
UGGCUGCGAAAAGAAUUUUGAUUUUUUAAAGAGACCGGAGAAAAUUAGCGGUCUCAGGCGACAGGCACAUACGCGAAGUCCUUCAAAACGUUUUUACAGCGUGAA